UGACUCAGAUUUUUUUCACCAUUUGGCAAAAAGAAAAAAGUAUCUGUUCCCUAGACAAUUGUUUCUGAAGCUCUAGAGGUUUGUGCAAAUUUUCAUGCAGAAAUCAUACGUUGACAUGCAAACCAGCAUUCCCCUAUCAUGUUUCCUCUGCUGUCCUGCUGUGAACCCAAUUUGAAGGACAUCUCAGAAACUGUAACUUUUGCCUGCUUGCUUGCCCAGACUUCUGCAGUGCCUGCAGAAAUCAUGUGGGAACCGGAAGGGCUGGCAAAAAUGGAAUACCCACUGACAAAACAGAACGCAGAACCAGAAUCGUGGCUUAGUGCAAGCCAGCUCACAGUUCAAGGCUCAGACUUCUCUCAGAAAGCAUAUACAUGCUCUAUGAAGCAGGAAGCGAAUGCACAACCACUGGUCAAAGCCACCAUCGAUAGCAAAAAGUGCAACUGUGGACCCCCAAAGCCCGUCCAAGUUCAAAUCUUAAGCCCUGGCUGUAAUGAAAAAGUGGAAGAGUCCACCUUGGAGCUGGUCUGCCUCCUUCGGAGCCUUGGUUCUGGAAGUGCUGGUGUGGAGUGGCUGAAGAAUGGAGAAGCAUUUCAAGAGAAAGUGGAGGUGAUGUUGACUGCAAGCAAGAACUUGGAGGGCACUUACUCCAGUUUUGUCAGACAGAACAUCCUCAAAGACAGCUGGGAGAAAGGGGACCAGUACACAUGUAAAGUCUACCGUCCACCUAAGAGCGAGAACAUAACCAUGCGCAACACCAGCAAGUGCAAAGCCUGCUGCAGCUCGGUGCAACAAUUGACCAUCUCUGUCAUCAAGCCAUCCCCAAAGAACCUGUUUGAGGGCAAAGCAAAUUUGACCUGCACUGUGGUUGGCCUCAACCUUGAUAAUGUCCAUAUAACCUGGUAUGUGGAUGACAAGCGCAGCACUGAAGGCCAGAAAGAUGCGGUGAAGGUAGACGCAAGCGGAAGUCAGAACGUGAGAGGUUUCCACCCGGUAUCUUUGGAGCAGUGGAGAAGAGGCACCAAAUUCACCUGCAAAGCUGCUGGGCCAUGCUAUGAAGAAGUCUCCAAAGAAGUAACCAUCAAAACGGAUUCACACACCACAAAGCCCUCCAUUGCCAUUUCUCGAGCGUUCCUUGAUGUCUCGCUCAAGAGCACCAUGGCUCUGAUUCUUCUCUGUGAUGUGAGCGGGUUUUCCCCCCAGGAAAUUAGCAUCUCCUGGCAGAGGGACAACAAAGCUCUGAAUGAAAACCUCUAUGACCAUGGGAUCGUGAUGCCCGCUGGGAGCCUCUACAACACUUACAGCCUCCUGAAGAUCAGCCGCGAUGAACCAGGGGGGAGGGCAGGCAACUAUAGCUGUGUGGUCCACCAUUCCUCUUCUGAGACACCAAUCACAGCCAGUGAAAAUGUCCCCAUUGGUUUUUUGGAACCAGCUUCCCCAAAAGUGAUGGUAUUUCAUACCUCAGAGGAUGGGGAAUGCCAGAAACUUGUCUGCUUUGCCACCAACUUCUAUCCCCAAAAUAUAAACAUUCAAUGGAGCAUCCAAGGACAUAAUCUCAGCUGCAGUUCAGAAUCUUCAAGUUCACUCUCCCUCACUGAUGGGACCUUCCAGAAGAACUGCAGUUUGGUACUCAGAGGAGAAGAAUGCAAGAAGCAAGAAAUGUAUACAUGUGCUGUUACUCAUAGUUCAACCAACACCUUCAUUAAGAAGACCGUGCCUUCUUGUGGCAUGACCCCAUCUGUUCACAACAAGACGGAGAUCAUUAUGCAGCCGCCAUCCUUUGAAGACCUCCUCAUGAACAAACGUGCAGCUGUAACCUGCAAGAUGCCUCUUGUGAAUGCAACCUCCAAUUCAAUCAUCAAUUGGACAAUGGAUGGGAAACCUGCUGACAUGAAUGCUGUGACAACCGAAGUCUUUUCAGAAGACAACAGCACCCUUUGGAUCGCUGGCCAGCUGUGGGUGAAUCUGUCUGAAUGGAGAGCCACCAGGAUGUUCACCUGUAACAUCCACAAUGACCUAGGAGAAACUAAACAGAACCUCGACCGAAGGGAUGGCAUUAUGAAGGCUCCUGAAGUCUACCUCCAACAGUCUUCCAAGGAAGGCAUGAACGUAACCCUAGUGUGCAUGGCCAGAAACUUCUACCCAGCAGAAAUAUUCCUGAAGUGGGAAGAGGAGGACAAGGAGAGGUCACUGAAGAGUUAUGAGGCCCACGAUUUGAAUUGUAAUCAUGAAGAACAGAGAUGUUCCUUAGUGAGCAUCCUGGAAGUCCCCACAAGCAAGUGGAUGAUGGGAGUCUCCUACACAUGCCUUGUAGUUCACAUCUCCUCUGAAAACAUCAUAACUAGAAGAGCCAAUAUCUUUUCUGAUUCCUGGGACUGUGCCAUCAUGGGGGUUGCCUUGUGUGAUGUCCGCAAUGAAAAUGAAGAUGAGUACAGCGAACUGGAGGAUGCCAACAGUGUCUGGAACAAAGUCUCCACUUUCAUGGUGCUCUUUGUUGUUGCACUCUUCUAUGGAGGCCUUGUCACUUUCAUCAAGGUGAAAUAAUUGUCAUCUUUUAUUCUUCAUGAAGCCUAUUCAGAACAGAAGUUCAUCUAUGUCUCUCCUUGGUCCAUCUUUCUCCAACUUUCUCCAUUAUAUUUCCUAUCUGCCACAUUUUCCAUGGUUCAGAAGGGAGGACACAACAAGGCAUUAAUGACAGCAAGCAUUAAUUUCAAUGUCCAUCGGUGUUUGGACAAAUUGCACCGAAACUCACACAGGCAAUUUGGUCCAUGUAUGGGCGAUGGGCCACUACAACACUGAAAGAAAAGAACUCCAGUUACAUGAGCAUUAUGCCAAAGGUCACAAAUGCAGUAGCUUGUUAUGGAACCCCAACAGCGGAUUGCAAAUUCAGAGAAGUUUCUUGAUGCAGAGGAGUUAUGCCCAUGCCGAAGAACAAAAUGGAGCACAGAAAGGCAUGAUCCACCAACUAUCCCUGAGUAGCCAAGUUUGUUACUCCUCUGUAUUUUUCAAGUCUGACGACUGAUGGGUUGAGAAAACCCAUUGGAGUCCAAAAUAGUGAAAAUCUGUCCCGCUGAAAGUUCCUCCGUGAUACAUUUUUUGUUAUAGCGUCUCAGCAAGUCCUCUCAAACCUGCUGAACCACCCAUUCUUCAGCAGUGACUCCCUUACAGUUUGAGCAGGCCUGCCACAUUUAUCUAUUGUUACAAGCGCAGGCACAAGGGUUCUCUCCAGCUCAGAGACCCAAUAUUUAGUUUUAAGCGUGUUGAGAAAGUAGGAGAUGAGUAGCUGCAGCUGCUUUCGCUUGCCAUGAUUUACAUUUUCAAGAAGAGUGUUAAUACAUUAGCAUAUCACAUUUGCAUUAAGUUGUCCCUAUUAUUGCUUUUUCUAACUGAGGCAAUUCAAACUUGACUUAUCUACCACUUUACAGGCUAGUUAAAAAUGAUAUUUUGCUAUUCAAGGGCUGUCGGCUAACACUUGGCCUUGAAGGAAUUGCUUAGCACCAGAGAACUGGCUAAAGCAAGGUACAAAUACUAAUAUGUUGAACGUUUUGAGUGCUAGUCAUUUAUUAAAGGUCACAGCUCUAAGUGGUUGUUCUCUUGAAACUCUAUCUAACGUGUGUGGUGUCUAUCCAUUAGCCAAGUUUCUGAUGUAUAUUUUAUCGAUGUACGUAGCACGUAACUACAUUACGGUCAAUUGCACUGGAUUCUUUUAUGGUAACUGCAUUAUGGGGACAGACAUCUCAUAAUGUCAAGGUCAGUUUAAUCUUACAGAGCUUGGAUUCCCAACCUCUCUUAACUUUUGCCAUUUCGUGUUGCUAUAAAAUGCAUUAAAAUUGAUUUGCAUUGCAUUCCACUGUAGUGUACCAAAUCGCAUUGAUUUAUAUUAAACUAUCCUUAGAUAUA
Molecule: non-coding RNA, 3897 nt
Organism: Varanus komodoensis (Komodo dragon)
Lineage: Eukaryota; Metazoa; Chordata; Lepidosauria; Squamata; Varanidae
Source: the annotation of a RefSeq genome assembly